UACAGAGGGGGCAAGCGUUGUCCGGAAUCACUGGGCGUAAAGGGCGCGUAGGCGGCCGUUCAAGUCGGGGGUGAAAGCCUGUGGCUCAACCACAGAAUGGCCCUCGAUACUGGAUGGCUCGAGACCGGAAGAGGUUGGUGGAACUGCGAGUGUAGAGGUGAAAUUCGUAGAUAUUCGCAAGAACACCAGUGGCGAAGGCGGCCAACUGGUCCGGUUCUGACGCUGAGGCGCGAAAGCGUGGGGAGCAAACAGG
RNAcentral lists this ribosomal RNA (253 nucleotides) under uncultured bacterium. Its description in RNAcentral is "partial 16S ribosomal RNA". It matches the Rfam family "Bacterial small subunit ribosomal RNA", at positions 524 to 776 of the family's 1533-position model. The record is from RNAcentral.